CUAGUUCGGAUUGUAGGCUGAAACUCGCCUACAUGAAGCUGGAAUUGCUAGUAAUCACAGGUCAGCAUACUGUGGUGAAUACGUUCCCGGGCCUUGUACACACCGCCCGUCACACCAUGAGAGUUGGAGAUACCCGAAGCCUAUGAGCUAACUUUUAGAGGCAGUAGUCGAAGGUAGAAUCAAUGAUUGGGGUGAAGUCGUAACAAGGUAAC
This 212-nucleotide ribosomal RNA is filed under the name uncultured bacterium. RNAcentral's name for it is "partial 16S ribosomal RNA". It matches the Rfam family "Bacterial small subunit ribosomal RNA", at positions 1288 to 1500 of the family's 1533-position model. The record is from RNAcentral.